This 301-nucleotide ribosomal RNA is filed under the name uncultured bacterium. Its description in RNAcentral is "partial 16S ribosomal RNA". It matches the Rfam family "Bacterial small subunit ribosomal RNA", at positions 509 to 807 of the family's 1533-position model. The record is from RNAcentral.
CAGUCGCCACGGGAAUACAGAGGGUGCGAGUGUUAAUCGGAUUUACUGGGCGUAAAGCGUGCGUAGGCGGCUUCUUAAGUCGGAUGUGAAAUCCCUGAGCUUAACUUAGGAAUUGCAUUCGAUACUGGGAAGCUAGAGUAUGGGAGAGGAUGGUAGAAUUCCAGGUGUAGCGGUGAAAUGCGUAGAGAUCUGGAGGAAUACCGAUGGCGAAGGCAGCCAUCUGGCCUAAUACUGACGCUGAGGUACGAAAGCAUGGGGAGCAAACAGGAUUAGAUACCCCCGUAGUCCCUGUCUCUUAUAC